CCAACCCUUUGUUGUUAAAACUACCUUGUUGCUUUGGCGGGACCGCUCGGUCUCGAGCCGCUGGGGAUUCGUCCCAGGCGAGCGCCCGCCAGAGUUAAACCAAACUCUUGUUAUAAAAACCGGUCGUCUGAGUAAAAAUUUUGAAUAAAUCAAAACUUUCAACAACGGAUCUCUUGGUUCUCGCAUCGAUGAAGAACGCAGCGAAAUGCGAUAAGUAAUGUGAAUUGCAGAAUUCAGUGAAUCAUCGAAUCUUUGAACGCACAUUGCGCCCCUUGGUAUUCCGAGGGGCAUGCCUGUUCGAGCGUCAUUACACCACUCAAGCUAUGCUUGGUAUUGGGUGCCGUCCUUAGUUGGGCGCGCCUUAAAGACCUCGGCGAGGCCUCACCGGCUUUAGGCGUAGUAGAAUUUAUUCGAACGUCUGUCAAAGGAGAGGACUUCUGCCGACUGAAACCUUUUAUUUUUUCUAGGUUGACCUCGGAUCAGGUAGGGAUACCCGCUGAACUUAAGCAUAUCAAUAAGCGGAGGAAAAGAAACCAACAGGGAUUGCCCUAGUAACGGCGAGUGAAGCGGCAACAGCUCAAAUUUGAAAGCUGGCCUUCGGGUCCGCAUUGUAAUUUGUAGAGGAUGCUUUGGGUGAAACGCCAGUCUAAGUUCCUUGGAACAGGACGUCAUAGAGGGUGAGAAUCCCGUA
This 691-nucleotide ribosomal RNA is filed under the name Aureobasidium pullulans. RNAcentral describes it as "eukaryotic LSU rRNA". The stretch from base 470 to 691 matches the Rfam family "Eukaryotic large subunit ribosomal RNA", at positions 1 to 225 of the family's 3401-position model. The record is from RNAcentral. Lineage: Eukaryota; Fungi; Ascomycota; Dothideomycetes; Dothideales; Saccotheciaceae.